UGCUCAAUGAAGAAGAUGGUGAUCUUAGAGUCAUACUGAAGGACCCUAAGCUCGCACCAACCACGCUCGACCCUGUUGAGCACCGUCUGGCAUGAGCAGAAAGAUCAUCAAAACAUAAGGACUUGUUAAUUUAAAAAACAGUCAGGUGCUUGCUUUUUUAUGCUUCCAAAAUAAAUGUCAGCUGCUGUUGUUGUAUGUUCUUUCCUAAGUCCAAAUCAUGAUGAACUGAGUAAAAACGGAGAGCACUCUGUCUAAAUGAUACUAGCAGCCUUUACCCCAAAAUCUAUUGGAAGAUGCUUCCUUUGAUAUUCAAUAAAAAUGAAAUCAUCCCAAGUAUUUCUUUUAAAGGAGCAAUAUGACAACUUCUUGUUUCUUGUGGCAUCCAUUGGAAGCACUAUUGGAAACUGCAGUAUUUGCAUCUCCCUCAAGUAAACGCAGUUUACCAGCUCUCUUGUGCCAGAUAACAUAUGCCCGCCAAUUAUCUUCUAGGUUGUCUACAAAGACAUGCAAUUUCAGGUUGCAAACGAAGCACAAAAUUUGCCAGAUUACAAGUUUAUUAAGGAAUCCUAAUCUACAAGGGUGGUUAAAAAUGAGGGGCAGAACUAUUGGAAACUGCAGUAUUUGCAUCUCCCCUAAGUAAACACAGUUUACCAGCUCUCUUGUGUCAGAUAACAUAUGCCCUCCAAUUAUCUUCUAGGUUGUCUACAAAGAGACUGAAAUACGCGAUUUCAAGUUGCAAACGAAGCACAAAAUUUGCCAGAUGUCAAGUUUACGGAUGCCUAAUCUACAGGGGGUUAAAAAUGAGAGGCAUUCGAACUUGGGGGUACAUGUCGCCGGUAGAUGCUUGGUGUAGAAAUAAUAAUAAAUGCGCACAAGGAAGAGACCAGAGAAGGCAGGUUCACCGUCAUACCGCGGCGACCGGCGAGAAGCAAGCAGGACGCGGCGGCGGCGGCGGCGGCGACCGCCAUCGCCGAGCAAGCUAUUGGAUCGGGCUGCUCUAUUCUGAAGCAGCACGUUGGGCUGAGACACA
This 1030-nucleotide long non-coding RNA is filed under the name Panicum hallii. Its description in RNAcentral is "long non-coding RNA (PHAL_LNC000136)". Lineage: Eukaryota; Viridiplantae; Streptophyta; Magnoliopsida; Poales; Poaceae. The record is from RNAcentral.